GGCUUGGUAGCUUAGCUGGUAAAGCGCUCGUCUAGCAUACAAGAGUCCGGGGUUCGAUUCCCAGCCGAGCAC
This is a non-coding RNA of Aedes aegypti (yellow fever mosquito), 72 nucleotides long. NCBI's taxonomy places the organism in Eukaryota, Metazoa, Arthropoda, Insecta, Diptera, Culicidae. The record is from Rfam.